RNAcentral lists this ribosomal RNA (490 nucleotides) under uncultured bacterium. Its description in RNAcentral is "partial 16S ribosomal RNA". It matches the Rfam family "Bacterial small subunit ribosomal RNA", at positions 28 to 507 of the family's 1533-position model. The record is from RNAcentral.
GAUGAACGCUCGCUACAGGCUUAACACAUGCAAGUCGAGGGGAAACGAUGAGAGAGCUUGCUCUCUUAGGCGUCGACCGGCGCACGGGUGAGUAACGCGUAUCCAACCUACCCAUUACAGGGGGAUAACCUUGCGAAAGUAAGACUAAUACCCCAUGGCAUUUUAUGGUGGCAUCAUUAUAGGAUUAAAGAUUUAUUGGUAAUGGAGGGGGAUGCGUCUGAUUAGCUUGUUGGCGGGGUAACGGCCCACCAAGGCAACGAUCAGUAGGGGUUCUGAGAGGAAGGUCCCCCACAUUGGAACUGAGACACGGUCCAAACUCCUACGGGAGGCAGCAGUGAGGAAUAUUGGGCAAUGGGCGAGAGCUUGAACCAGCCAAGUAGCGUGCAGGAUGACGGCCCUAUGGGUUGUAAACUGCUUUUAUAGGGGAAUAAAGUGAGCUACGUGUAGUUUAUUGCAUGUACCCUAUGAAUAAGGACCGGCUAAUUCCGUG